Molecule: ribosomal RNA, 616 nt
Filed under: uncultured euryarchaeote
Lineage: Archaea; Methanobacteriati; Methanobacteriota
Description: bacterial SSU rRNA
Rfam family: Archaeal small subunit ribosomal RNA
Source: RNAcentral
CGGCUCAGUAACACGUGGAUAACCUACCCUCAGACCUGGGAUAACUCCGGGAAACUGGAGAUAAUACCGGAUAAUCCGUGAACGCUGGAAUGCCUUACGGUUGAAAGCUUUAGCGUCUGAGGAUGGGUCUGCGGCCGAUUAGGUAGUUGCUGGGGUAACGUCCCAACAAGCCGAUAAUCGGUACGGGUUGUGAGAGCAAGAGCCCGGAGAUGGAUUCUGAGACACGAAUCCAGGUCCUACGGGGCGCAGCAGGCGCGAAAACUUUACACUGCGCGAAAGCGCGAUAAGGGGACCUCGAGUGCGUGCGCAAUGCGUACGCUUUUCAGAUGCCUAAAAAGCAUCUGGAAUAAGGGCCGGGCAAGACCGGUGCCAGCCGCCGCGGUAACACCGGCGGCUCAAGUGGUGGCCGCUAUUAUUGGGCUUAAAGGGUCCGUAGCCGGACCAGUUAGUCCCUUGGGAAAUCUUACGGCUUAACCGUAAGGCUGCCAAUGGAUACUGCUGGUCUUGGGACCGGGAGAGGCAAGAGGUACCUCAGGGGUAGGAGUGAAAUCCUGUAAUCCUUGAGGGACCGCCAGUGGCGAAGGCGUCUUGCUAGAACGGGUCCGACGGUGAGGGA